Molecule: long non-coding RNA, 349 nt
Organism: Saccostrea cuccullata (small rock oyster)
Lineage: Eukaryota; Metazoa; Mollusca; Bivalvia; Ostreida; Ostreidae
Exons: 3
Source: RefSeq, a predicted model, not a curated record
AUUCCUGAAGCGUUGUAGGCGAGAUUGAAAAAAUCAAAUCAAUUAAACAAAAUGGUCUCAAAUUACCAUUUCUUAAAAUGUUUAUAUUUUAUGCCCUUCUUUUCACGUACGGGGUUUAGUCAAGAAAUAUGCGAUAGUAACACAGGACCAGUGUGCUGCGAUGGCUAUUACAGAAAUCAAAUCACAGGAAACUGUACCAGUUGCAAACCAGGAUAUUUUGAUUUUAAUUGUUCUAAAAAGUGUGGAUAUCCUACAUACGGUGAAAAAUGUCAGCAAAUAUGCAGCUGUAGUGAAAAGAAAUGUCAUUUCGCUAUUGGAUGUCGACUAAACACAGAAAAGUCUGGCAAGU